This 1194-nucleotide ribosomal RNA is filed under the name Escherichia coli. RNAcentral describes it as "partial 23S ribosomal RNA". It matches the Rfam family "Bacterial large subunit ribosomal RNA", at positions 1 to 1238 of the family's 2925-position model. The record is from RNAcentral. Lineage: Bacteria; Pseudomonadati; Pseudomonadota; Gammaproteobacteria; Enterobacterales; Enterobacteriaceae.
GUUAAGCGACUAAGCGUACACGGUGGAUGCCCUGGCAGUCAGAGGCGAUGAAGGACGUGCUAAUCUGCGAUAAGCGUCGGUGAGGUGAUAUGAACCGUUAUAACCGGCGAUUUCCGAAUGGGGAAACCCAGUGUGUUUCGACACACUAUCAUUAACUGAAUCCAUAGGUUAAUGAGGCGAACCGGGGGAACUGAAACAUCUAAGUACCCCGAGGAAAAGAAAUCAACCGAGAUUCCCCCAGUAGCGGCGAGCGAACGGGGAGGAGCCCAGAGCCUGAAUCAGUGUGUGUGUUAGUGGAAGCGUCUGGAAAGGCGUGCGAUACAGGGUGACAGCCCCGUACACAAAAAUGCACAUAUUGUGAGCUCGAUGAGUAGGGCGGGACACGUGGUAUCCUGUCUGAAUAUGGGGGGACCAUCCUCCAAGGCUAAAUACUCCUGACUGACCGAUAGUGAACCAGUACCGUGAGGGAAAGGCGAAAAGAACCCCGGCGAGGGGAGUGAAAAAGAACCUGAAACCGUGUACGUACAAGCAGUGGGAGCCUCUUAAUGGGGUGACUGCGUACCUUUUGUAUAAUGGGUCAGCGACUUAUAUUCUGUAGCAAGGUUAACCGAAUAGGGGAGCCGAAGGGAAACCGAGUCUUAACUGGGCGUUAAGUUGCAGGGUAUAGACCCGAAACCCGGUGAUCUAGCCAUGGGCAGGUUGAAGGUUGGGUAACACUAACUGGAGGACCGAACCGACUAAUGUUGAAAAAUUAGCGGAUGACUUGUGGCUGGGGGUGAAAGGCCAAUCAAACCGGGAGAUAGCUGGUUCUCCCCGAAAGCUAUUUAGGUAGCGCCUCGUGAAUUCAUCUCCGGGGGUAGAGCACUGUUUCGGCAAGGGGGUCAUCCCGACUUACCAACCCGAUGCAAACUGCGAAUACCGGAGAAUGUUAUCACGGGAGACACACGGCGGGUGCUAACGUCCGUCGUGAAGAGGGAAACAACCCAGACCGCCAGCUAAGGUCCCAAAGUCAUGGUUAAGUGGGAAACGAUGUGGGAAGGCCCAGACAGCCAGGAUGUUGGCUUAGAAGCAGCCAUCAUUUAAAGAAAGCGUAAUAGCUCACUGGUCGAGUCGGCCUGCGCGGAAGAUGUAACGGGGCUAAACCAUGCACCGAAGCUGCGGCAGCGACACUAUGUGUUGUUGGGUAGGGGAGCG